RNAcentral lists this long non-coding RNA (328 nucleotides) under Setaria viridis. RNAcentral describes it as "long non-coding RNA (SVIR_LNC004202)". Lineage: Eukaryota; Viridiplantae; Streptophyta; Magnoliopsida; Poales; Poaceae. The record is from RNAcentral.
UGUAAUGUGUUUUGUUUUUCAUAUCGUGACAUGGAUGAAUUUGAUGUGAUAUUUCUCUAGCACGUAUCUAUCUGGUUUGAUUUAUUUUCGAUAGGUGAUGAUUACAAGGAUGUUAGCCAUACUUGGUUUAUUUUGUCCUGAACUUUGGCUGUAGGACGUUCGCCACACUGUUCUUGGCGUACUAUUGCUCGUCCACUACGCCAGAGUCGUCCAUAGGUCGUGUCUUUCAAAAAAAAAGUCUGCACAACUGAUACAAAUACCCAAUCGAUCCCCUUCCUUAUUCUCAUUUUGGCUGUUGAACAUAUGGCAUGUAAAUAUGCAAUCCCCU